UAGGGAAUCUUCCACAAUGGACGCAAGUCUGAUGGAGCAACGCCGCGUGAGUGAAGAAGGUCUUCGGAUCGUAAACUCUGUUGUUAGAGAAGAACACGAGUGAGAGUAACUGUUCAUUCGAUGACGGCAUCUAACCAGUAAGUCACGGCUAACUACGUGCCAG
RNAcentral lists this ribosomal RNA (163 nucleotides) under uncultured bacterium. Its description in RNAcentral is "partial 16S rRNA". It matches the Rfam family "Bacterial small subunit ribosomal RNA", at positions 355 to 511 of the family's 1533-position model. The record is from RNAcentral.